This 511-nucleotide long non-coding RNA is filed under the name Chinchilla lanigera (long-tailed chinchilla). RNAcentral describes it as "lncRNA (ENSCLAG00000026935.1)". The record is from RNAcentral. Lineage: Eukaryota; Metazoa; Chordata; Mammalia; Rodentia; Chinchillidae.
UCCCUCCUACUCUCCGAAACUCUAGCUCAACCUGUCCGACAGGCUGGAGCACUCGCGAGCGCUCCCGGCCCCAUCUGGCCCCAGCUCCCCCAGCACGCCCCAGCCCCCACCUCUCUUGGAAAGCCCAGCUUCAGUUGUUUUCUGGCUUCCCCGAGGAGACAGCGGGGCAGGUGACAAGCCCGCCUCGGAGGACACUCCGCAAAGGUGUCGCCGGCAGGGAGCCUCAUUGGACCCCUUUGGACUCAAACUUCCAGCUCGAAAGCCGCGUCUCGGGGCUGCAGGCGGGCGCGCUUCCGAGAACGCGGGCAGAAGGGCCGCUGGCUUCGCAGGAACCCGACCGUGUGGCGCCAGGCGUGAGCUGAAGGGCGCUUACAUCCCACACCCCAAGCUCCAGCGGUCCAUCCACACGCUGGAGCCGCCCGAAGGAACCGAGAGUCCUCCCUCGGUCUGGCGCGGAGGCCAGGGAACCGCGCGAUUGCGCUGCCUCUGGGGAGCGCCAAGGGCCCGCAGG